AAUCCGGAUAAUCAAGGCUGAGGUGUGAUGACGAGCACUACGGUGCUGAAGUAACAAAUGCCCUGCUUCCAGGAAAAGCCUCUAAGCAUCAGGUAACAUCAAAUCGUACCCCAAACCGACACAGGUGGUCAGGUAGAGAAUACCAAGGCGCUUGAGAGAACUCGGGUGAAGGAACUAGCAAAAUGGUGCCGUAACUUCGGGAGAAGGCACGCUGGUGUGUAGGUGAAGCCCCUGCGG
Molecule: ribosomal RNA, 237 nt
Filed under: Klebsiella pneumoniae
Lineage: Bacteria; Pseudomonadati; Pseudomonadota; Gammaproteobacteria; Enterobacterales; Enterobacteriaceae
Description: partial 23S ribosomal RNA
Rfam family: Bacterial large subunit ribosomal RNA
Source: RNAcentral